RNAcentral lists this ribosomal RNA (315 nucleotides) under Staphylococcus epidermidis. RNAcentral describes it as "partial 16S ribosomal RNA". It matches the Rfam family "Bacterial small subunit ribosomal RNA", at positions 1 to 305 of the family's 1533-position model. RNAcentral also lists the same sequence under 1 other name. Lineage: Bacteria; Bacillati; Bacillota; Bacilli; Caryophanales; Staphylococcaceae. The record is from RNAcentral.
UUUAUGGAGAGUUUGAUCCUGGCUCAGGAUGAACGCUGGCGGCGUGCCUAAUACAUGCAAGUCGAGCGAACAGACGAGGAGCUUGCUCCUCUGACGUUAGCGGCGGACGGGUGAGUAACACGUGGAUAACCUACCUAUAAGACUGGGAUAACUUCGGGAAACCGGAGCUAAUACCGGAUAAUAUAUUGAACCGCAUGGUUCAAUAGUGAAAGACGGUUUUGCUGUCACUUAUAGAUGGAUCCGCGCCGCAUUAGCUAGUUGGUAAGGUAACGGCUUACCAAGGCAACGAUGCGUAGCCGACCUGAGAGGGUGAUC